Molecule: ribosomal RNA, 200 nt
Filed under: uncultured bacterium
Lineage: Bacteria
Description: partial 16S ribosomal RNA
Rfam family: Bacterial small subunit ribosomal RNA
Source: RNAcentral
AGAGUUUGAUCAUGGCUCAGAACGAACGCUGGCGGCAGGCUUAACACAUGCAAGUCGAACGCACCGCAAGGUGAGUGGCAGACGGGUGAGUAACGCGUGGGAACCUCCCCUAUGGUACGGAAUAACUUCGGGAAACCGAAGCUAAUACCGUAUGUUUCCUUCGGGACAAAGAUUUAUCGCCAUAGGAUGGGCCCGCGUUG